Eleginops maclovinus (Patagonian blennie) is the source of this 2011-nucleotide long non-coding RNA. RefSeq lists it as uncharacterized. The record is from RefSeq and is a predicted model, not a curated record. NCBI's taxonomy places the organism in Eukaryota, Metazoa, Chordata, Actinopteri, Perciformes, Eleginopidae. The transcript is spliced from 3 exons.
UCUGUUGCCCUUUCAUAUGAAAAUGUAUAUAGUGUAAACUGUUAUAUCAGCAACUUGUUCAAUCCAAUAUUCCCCUACCCAAAGCAUGAUACAAAUGGUUAUAGAGCACUUUUAUAUUGUAUGACAGAAUACUGCAAAGGUGUUUGAAUUUUGUUUCUGAUAUUUCUUGUAGGAGUGUUUACGUGACCUUGAUUUGAGGAGGAUGGUCUCUUUGUCCAUGGACGGACCCAACGUCAAUUGGCGUUUUCUUGAGAUGCUGCAGACGGAGCAUGCUGAGCAUUUUGGGGGUGCCCAGUUGGUUGUAGUGGGAAGUUGUGGGCUACACACUCUACAUAAUGCUGUCAAAUGUGGAUUCACUGAGUGGCAUAUGGAGAAGUUCUUAAGAGCUCUUCAUACUAUUUUUCACAAUGUGCCAGCAAGAAGGGAGGAUUUUUGCAAUCUUACAAAGUCCAAAACCUUUGCUUUGCCUUUCUGUGGUCACCGCUGGAUCGAGAACCUCCCAGUAGUGCAGAGAGCCAUUGAGAUCUGGCCUGACAUGAAGAAAUAUGUUGAUGCUGUUACAACCAAGAAGCUCCCAAACCCUGGAACGUCUUCUUAUGACACCAUCGAGGUGGCAACCAAAGACCCUCUUAUUUUGGCAAAGCUGCAUUUUUUCAUGGCAGUUUCACGAAGUGUGACACCCUUCUUGACAAAGUAUCAAACGGAUGAACCUGUGCUUCCAUUCUUUGCCAAUGACUUGGCUGAAUUACUGAAGAAUUUGCUGAGGCGAUUCAUCAAGCGAGAGCUACUGACUGAUGUCACACCUCAGCACUUGGUACGGCUUGAUGUCACUGACAAGCAGUCGAGGGUGCAUCCAAAGGCAGUGGACAUCGGCAUUGGUGCAGAGACUGCCAUAAAGGUGAUCUGAUCACCCAGAAGUUCUCAGAGAUGCUGUCCCUGGAGGUCCGAACUGAAGAAUUUCAGUCCUUCCAGCCAUUCAAGAAAAGACUGGAUGUCUUUCUAAGUAACAUCAUCAGUGAGACCUACCCACAACUUUGGUCCUUUAUCCAGAAGCUUCUACUUCUAUCACACGGGCAGGCAACAGUUGAGCGGGGCUUUUCGGUGAACAAAGAAAUUGAAACUGCUAACAUUCACGAAGACACCGUUGUAGCGCAGAGAAUCGUCUGUGACUACAUCUCUCUCCAUGGAGGGGUUACCAAGGUCCCCCUCACGCCAGCCCUGCUUUCCUCGGUCUCAUCUUCCAGAGCAAGAUAUAGAAUUCAUCUUGAGACGGAGAGAAAAAAGAGAGAAUCUCAAGCAGAGUCAGAAAAACGAAAGGCCAUUGAGGAGAACCUGGAGCAACUGAGAAAGCACAGAAGAUCCAUCAAGGAGGUAGCCGAACAUCUGCUCAGGGAUGCUGAUAAGUUGGCAGACCAGGCUGAAGCCAAGCAAGCAGGCAGCAAGAUGGCGGAGCUAAUAGCAAAAUCGAAUGCCUUUAGAAGGAGCCACAAGGAAAAGAUGGCUGAACUCAUUAAACUGGACGAACAGAUUGCUGCCAAAAGAGCUGAGCUCCAAAAGCUGUAGGAUCUAUUGAAAUGCACACAGGCACACCCACAGACGAAUGCAGGCACACGCACACACAAACACACACACACACGUACACCCCUCACAGUUAUUGUUUUAAAUUAUUCUGUCUUAGGACUUAAAUACAGUGUAGAUUGCAACAACCGCACACAGGCACACCCACAGACGAAUGCAGGCACACGCACACACAAACACACACACACGUACACCCCUCACAGUUAUUGUUUUAAAUGGUUCUUAAAUUAAUGACUUAAAUACAGUGUAGACAGGCUGUAGGUUACUUUGGGAAAAAACAUCCAUACAAAGGCGCACCCACAGACGUGUGCAUGUGCAUACAUGCACUCCUCACACAGUUAUUGUGUUUAAAUAUGGUGAAUGUUAUGUUGAAGCAGAUCUUUGAAAGCUGUUGUCCUCAGAGCAUAUUGUUCAUUAAAGUUAUUUAUUUGAU